This is a transfer RNA of Camelus ferus (Wild Bactrian camel), 72 nucleotides long. It matches the Rfam family "tRNA". Rfam says of the family: Transfer RNA (tRNA) molecules are approximately 80 nucleotides in length. The record is from Rfam. NCBI's taxonomy places the organism in Eukaryota, Metazoa, Chordata, Mammalia, Artiodactyla, Camelidae.
GAGGGUAUAGAUCAGUGGUAGAGUGUAUGCUCGGCAUGCACAAGGUCCUGGGUUCAAUCCCCAGUACCUCCA